AACCUGGUUGAUCCUGCCAGUAGUCAUAUGCUUGUCUUAAAGAUUAAGCCAUGCAUGUCUAAGUAUAAGCAUUUAUACCGCGAGACUGCGAACGGCUCAUUAAAACAGUUAUGGUUUAUUUGAUGGUUCCUUUGCUACUUGGAUAACCGUAGUAAUUCUAGAGCUAAUACAUGCACGAAGGGGCGACUUACGAAGCCCUGUAUUUAUUAGAUUAAAGCCAACCGCCUCCGGGUGUUCGUGGUGAAUCAUAGUAACUUAUCGGAUCGCCGGCUCUAUGCCAGCGACGUGUCAUUCAAAUUUCUGCCCUAUCAGCUUUAGAUGGUAGGAUAUGGGCCUACCAUGGCGGUGACGGGUAACGGAGAAUUAGGGUUCGAUUCCGGAGAGGGAGCCUGAGAAACGGCUACCACUUCUAAGGAAGGCAGCAGGCGCGCAAAUUACCCAAUCCUGACUCAGGGAGGUAGUGACAAGAAAUAACAAUAAACCGGCUUAUGCCGGUUUAAUUGGAAUGAGUACAAUUUAAACAUCUUAACGAGGAACAAUUGGAGGGCAAGUCUGGUGCCAGCAGCCGCGGUAAUUCCAGCUCCAAUAGC
Molecule: ribosomal RNA, 590 nt
Filed under: uncultured marine eukaryote
Lineage: Eukaryota
Description: SSU rRNA
Rfam family: Eukaryotic small subunit ribosomal RNA
Source: RNAcentral